Solea senegalensis (Senegalese sole) is the source of this 238-nucleotide long non-coding RNA. RefSeq lists it as uncharacterized. The transcript has 3 exons. Lineage: Eukaryota; Metazoa; Chordata; Actinopteri; Pleuronectiformes; Soleidae. The record is from RefSeq and is a predicted model, not a curated record.
ACAAACACUCCAUAACAGAAAUACUCACAGGUCCCCACAAACACGCCAUAACAGAAACACUCACAGGUCCUCACAAACACUCCAUAACAGAAACACUCACAGGUCCUCACAAACACUAUAACAGAAACACUCACAGGUCCUCACAAACACUCUAUAACAGAAACACUCACAGGUCCUCACAAACACUCCAUAACAGAAACACUCACAGGUCCUCACAAACACUCGAUAACAGAAACAC